This is a non-coding RNA of Pelobates cultripes (western spadefoot toad), 400 nucleotides long. The record is from the annotation of a GenBank genome assembly. Lineage: Eukaryota; Metazoa; Chordata; Amphibia; Anura; Pelobatidae.
CACUCCAGCCCCAUAAUCAGUGGUAAUCCAUUUCCACACUCCUUUCCCUUUAGUCCAGGCUUCCUCAAACUCGGGCCCUCCAUGUGUUGCUGAACUGCAACUACCAUGAUUCUAUGAAUUAGAUAGUCUGAGAAUCAUGGGAGUUGUGGUUCAGCAACAUCUGGAGGGCCAGAGUUUAGGGAAGCCUGCUUUAGCCAGUAGUAGAUCAGUCUCCCCUCACCCUCCAUUCUCAAGAAUUUCACAUUGAUUUUAUUUGAAGAUAAAGUUUAGAUUUUCAUUUUGAAAGAACUCCUUUGACACUGAAGAAACCUGGUCAUUUCAGACAAUGAAUGGAUAGUGUGAACUCUUCUCAAAUUCUUCUGGAAAAAAAAAAAGAAAUGGCAUCAACAUACUCGUUAAC